GGAGGGUGCUGCGUGCCUGGUGGUCGCCGGAGUCUUCAAAACUCUUGAAGGGCUGUAAUGGUCCUUGAUUGGUUCAAUUCCUUUCCCCUCC
This 91-nucleotide transfer RNA is filed under the name Rubritalea squalenifaciens DSM 18772. RNAcentral describes it as "Selenocysteine transfer RNA". It matches the Rfam family "Selenocysteine transfer RNA". The record is from Rfam by way of RNAcentral. Lineage: Bacteria; Pseudomonadati; Verrucomicrobiota; Verrucomicrobiia; Verrucomicrobiales; Rubritaleaceae.